Molecule: ribosomal RNA, 253 nt
Filed under: uncultured bacterium
Lineage: Bacteria
Description: partial 16S ribosomal RNA
Rfam family: Bacterial small subunit ribosomal RNA
Source: RNAcentral
GACAGAGGUGGCAAGCGUUGUUCGGAUUUACUGGGCGUAAAGGGUGCGUAGGUGGUUGAGUAAGACCUGUGGGAAAGCCCUAGGCCUAACCUAGGAAGAUCACAGGUGACUGUUUAGCUAGAGGACGGGAGAGGAGAGCGGAAUUCCCGGUGUAGCGGUGAAAUGCGUAGAGAUCGGGAAGAAGGCCGGUGGCGAAGGCGGCUCUCUGGAACGUUCCUGACACUGAGGCACGAAAGCGUGGGGAGCAAACAGG